UUGGAAAUACUUAGUAAAACUUGUCCACCAAUCAAAAGAAGGCAUCUAUUUCGCCCUAAGGUUUCCAGCCAAUGAGAGCACACCAUAGCGUUGGCCCUUCAUUGCUGUUGUAAGCGUUCCUUGAGAUGGCGGCUCUCUUCGUGCUCCAUAAUUAUUCCAUCAAAAAAAGAUGCAUUCGUCUUUUGUCCGACAAUCGUUUGCAGCAAGAGAGAGCUCUCCAUUAAGAGACAAAACAAGGGACUGCGCCAUAUAUUUUGCAAAGUGAACCAAAAUUGCAAAAAUGAAAAUUAGAAUUAGAAAAAUUAAAAAUCACUAAAAAAAUGGAAUCACAGCAAUUUUUUCGAGGUUUAAAGUUUAAAAUUGAAAAUAAUUUUUUCAAAGUGUUAGAGUCAG
Molecule: long non-coding RNA, 393 nt
Organism: Leptopilina heterotoma
Lineage: Eukaryota; Metazoa; Arthropoda; Insecta; Hymenoptera; Figitidae
Exons: 3
Source: RefSeq, a predicted model, not a curated record